RNAcentral lists this long non-coding RNA (2226 nucleotides) under Solanum tuberosum (potato). RNAcentral's name for it is "long non-coding RNA (STUB_LNC001328)". The record is from RNAcentral. Lineage: Eukaryota; Viridiplantae; Streptophyta; Magnoliopsida; Solanales; Solanaceae.
AUAUAUUUUCAUCAAACUUGAUUAAACAUGUGAAUAAGAUACACAAUCACUAAAGAAUAUGUGAUAAUUUAAGUUUCAUCAAAUUUGCAAUCAAGCAAACCUAUAGUUAUUGCCCUGCUACUAUUCGAGUUUUCCUCUGAAACAAAAAUGGAGCGGAAGGGCUGCCAAUAACCACUUCCUGCUACUUGGCGCUAUUAAUUAUACAUCUUUCAAGAAACCAACAUUCUCUAAAUUCAAAAAUAUUUCAUUUCUCUCAAGCCUCUUCAAGUAUUAUGCCAUUUAAUUGUCAAUAUCCUGUAAAAAAAAAGUCAUCACAAUUAAAAGUAGAAAUAGAUACAACAGAUCUCAACAUGUAUAAUCUUCUCUCUUUCAAGAGGGACAAAAGUAUAUAGUCCUUGUGGCUCAACCUUGUCCUUAAGGUGGCAUCACACAUGUACAGAUGAACCAUCAAUUAAGCCACUUUGAAUUUUGUAGAAGAAAAAAAUAAACUUAAAAAUUACUCAAUCUAAAGAAAUAAAAAUAGAUGAAUCAGAUAGAUUCUGAAAGUAAUGAAUAAUGCAUAGAAAAGCAGGCAGUAAUCUUUCUGUCAUGUGACAGCUUAUAAGUUAAGCGUAUUGAAAUUUUGAUUUGUAACAAUAUUUUGAACUAAUUACCAAUACCAUAACAUCAUAAAACAGUUGUAGCAACAUCCAAAAAUAACAGCAAAAGUGAUUUCAACCGCAGUCGAAAAUACCAGAACAAAGUAAGAAGUAAAUUUUGUUAAUUCAGAUUCAGAAAACCAGCUACUACUGUUAAAUGAAAACAUCUUAUGAUUAGACAUGAAGAUUUAACUUAUAAAUCAGACUACGGUAUAAAAGAUACAAACUCUUAAUUUUACACAACUUCAUGGAAUAGAUUGUUAUACCAAAUUUUUAUAAAAAAUAUAUACCUCGGCAUUAGCCGAUGAACCCACCCACCACCAAAGUCUCCCAUAUGAAUCACUUUACCUUAAGUAUCCAUCAUGUUGGAUACUUAUUCAACCUCCAAACUCUCUCAAUUAACAGUAUGAUGCCACUUACAUGCUUUAUGACAUAUUCUUACCCAAGUAACAUCUACUCCUUCCACAACCAAAUCCUUCACCUGCUCAAGCCCACAGAUAGCGGGAUCAAUUGUGCAGAUUAUAGCUUCGUCUUCUGUAUACUGCAAAAAUUGUUCUCCUCCUUCUUUGAUAUGCUUUUUUGUUGAGCCGAGGGUCUAUUGAAAACAACAUCUCUUCCUCUUAAGAUAAGAUAUGGAUAAAAUCUUCGUACGUUCUAUUUUAUCCGAUCCACACCCACUUGUGAGAUUACAUUAAGUAUGUUGUUGUACUCAAUUAAACAAAGUUCUUUAGGAAAAGGUGGAUUUUAAUAUUAUCUAUUGAAAAGGGAAAAUCUUGAGGUGGGGCCAGAGAGUUGGCAAUCCGCUUACUUUGACUUCCAAUUGAACUUUAAGAGGAGGAAGUAGGAAAUCAAAACCUUCAGGAGCUUUCUAUUUUUGGACGUAAUAAGCCAAUUUUCCCUAUUAAUUUUGUCAUUGAUGAUCUCUUUCUUGUUAGUUUUUUGUUUCAAAGCCAAAUCCCUUCUCUUAACUACAAUUGUAGAAUUUAACUUCAAAACAUUUGAAUCUAAAUAACCUAAUUAAUCUCCGAAAAAUUAUAGUAAUAAGAAACACUAUGCUGAUAGAAAAACAUUUGCACAAGAAGCUAAUGAUGAAACGGAGAAUUAAGUUCAUCUAAGAAUAGAAUUAAUAAUUCAUACUCCCUCAAUUUUAAUUUAUGCGCCACACUUUUCUUUUUAAUUUGUCCAAAAAACUAAUGUAAGUGAAACCCAAUUUGUCAUCCACGUUAGGUUGAAUGCGACAAUUUGUACUCCCUUAACCCUAAAACACAUGAACUGGGUCUCAAUUUGCUGAAAAUAGUUAUAGGGAGAGUUUAAGGAAGUCCAUGUUCCACCCAACAAUAUCAAAUCACACACAUGUACUAAAAAAAUAACUUCUAAAUUUUAGAUGGAAGAUCAUCACACACAUAUACUAAGCAAAAAUAGAAGCAUUUUGGGCCAAAGAUUGCAAAAGGAGCUAACCUGUGAAUUCGAACAGGAGAACAACAACGACACUGAAGAGGAAACAACUGAACUCCUCUUUUGAGUGAAGCGGUGGCUCUUGGAAUAUAAGCCACGUGGCUUAAAUUACUAAAUUGUCCUUAAUUUUAAU